This 253-nucleotide ribosomal RNA is filed under the name uncultured bacterium. Its description in RNAcentral is "partial 16S ribosomal RNA". It matches the Rfam family "Bacterial small subunit ribosomal RNA", at positions 524 to 776 of the family's 1533-position model. The record is from RNAcentral.
GACGUAGGGCGCGAGCGCUGCCCGGAUUUAUUGGGCGUAAAGAGCGUGUAGGCGGCCAUGUAGGUCCGUUGUGAAAACUCGAGGCUCAACCUCGAGACGCCGAUGGAAACCAUGUGGCUAGAGUCCGGAAGAGGAGAGUGGAAUUCCUGGUGUAGCGGUGAAAUGCGCAGAUAUCAGGAAGAACACCCGUGGCUAAGGCGGCUCUCUAGUACGGUACUGACGCUGAGACGCGAAAGCGUGGGGAGCGAACAGG